This is a long non-coding RNA of Arabidopsis thaliana (thale cress), 348 nucleotides long. RefSeq annotates it as other RNA. Lineage: Eukaryota; Viridiplantae; Streptophyta; Magnoliopsida; Brassicales; Brassicaceae. The transcript has 2 exons. The record is from RefSeq.
ACCAGAAACAUGCAGGGGAACAAGAAACAAAAAUUCCGCUUGAUAGCCUCGUUUCCUCCAAAAUCGAUAGGCCACGCUUGUUUCUUGAUAGCCUCCAAAAUCUAUCAUCUCCUCGAUUUUGGAGGAAACGAGGCUAUCAAGCGUAAUUUUUGUUUCUUGUUCCCCUCCAUGUUUCUGGUGCGAGAAGAUGGAGUCGACCAGCUCAGUGACAUGUGAAUGGUCAACCCACCUACUGCUUUCAUGCCACUUGUUUGGAGGCUCUCUCAUUCCAAGGUCUCGUCAUUCCUAAUCGGAGAACUAUUUGGUGGCUUUUCCAAAUAGUUCGGUUGUAUGCGAUGGUGUUAAAAC